AGAAUCAACGCUGGCGGCGUGCCUAACACAUGCAAGUCGCACGAGAAAGGGUAGCAAUACCUGAGUAAAGUGGCGCACGGGUGAGUAACACGUGACUAAUCUACCCUCGAGUGGGGAAUAACUGAGAGAAAUCUCAGCUAAUACCGCAUAACACUUACGAGUCAAAGCAGAAAUGCGCUUGGGGAGGAGGUCGCGGCCGAUUAGCUAGUUGGCGGGGUAAUGGCCCACCAAGACGAUGAUCGGUA
RNAcentral lists this ribosomal RNA (245 nucleotides) under uncultured bacterium. Its description in RNAcentral is "partial small subunit ribosomal RNA". It matches the Rfam family "Bacterial small subunit ribosomal RNA", at positions 26 to 285 of the family's 1533-position model. The record is from RNAcentral.